RNAcentral lists this ribosomal RNA (702 nucleotides) under uncultured bacterium. Its description in RNAcentral is "bacterial SSU rRNA". It matches the Rfam family "Bacterial small subunit ribosomal RNA", at positions 34 to 710 of the family's 1533-position model. The record is from RNAcentral.
CGCUGGCGGCGUGCUUAACACAUGCAAGUCGAACGAGAAAGGGACCUUCGGGUUCUGAGUAGAGUGGCGCACGGGUGAGUAACACGUGGAUAAUCUGCCUGAUGGACAGGGAUAACACCCCGAAAGGGGUGCUAAUACCGGAUAAGCCCACAGCAUCUACGGAUGCAGCGGGAAAAGGGGGCCUCUUCAUGAAAGCUUCCGUCAUCAGAUGAGUCCGCGGUCCAUUAGCUAGUUGGUAGGGUAAAGGCCUACCAAGGCGACGAUGGAUAGCUGGUUUGAGAGAAUGAUCAGCCACACUGGAACUGAGACACGGUCCAGACUCCUACGGGAGGCAGCAGUGGGGAAUCUUGCGCAAUGGGGGCAACCCUGACGCAGCAACGCCGCGUGAGUGAUGAAGGUUUUCGGAUCGUAAAGCUCUGUCAGGAGGGAAGAAACCCCGAACGGUUAAUACCCGAUCGGAUUGACGGUACCUCCAAAGGAAGCACCGGCUAACUCCGUGCCAGCAGCCGCGGUAAUACGGAGGGUGCGAGCGUUGUUCGGAAUUAUUGGGCGUAAAGCGCGUGCAGGCGGUUUGUUAAGUCUGAUGUGAAAGCCCCGGGCUCAACCUGGGAAGUGCAUUGGAAACUGGCUGACUUGAGUACGGGAGAGGGAAGUGGAAUUUCCAGUGUAGGGGUGAAAUCCGUAGAUUUUCGAAGGACCCCC